This 823-nucleotide ribosomal RNA is filed under the name uncultured fungus. RNAcentral describes it as "eukaryotic LSU rRNA". The stretch from base 455 to 823 matches the Rfam family "Eukaryotic large subunit ribosomal RNA", at positions 1 to 366 of the family's 3401-position model. The record is from RNAcentral. Lineage: Eukaryota; Fungi.
GCCUUACGGGUAGAUCUCCCACCCUUUGUAUACUAUACCUUUGUUGCUUUGGCGGGCCGCCUAGCUACUGGCUUCGGCUGGUAAGUGCCCGCCAGAGGACCCAAAACCCUGAAUUAUUAGUGUCGUCUGAGUAAAAAGGUUAAUAUUUAAAACUUUCAACAACGGAUCUCUUGGCUCUGGCAUCGAUGAAGAACGCAGCGAAAUGCGAUAAGUAAUGUGAAUUGCAGAAUUCAGUGAAUCAUCGAAUCUUUGAACGCACAUUGCGCCCCUUGGUAUUCCGAGGGGCAUGCCUAUUCGAGCGUCAUUAUCACCCCUCAAGCCUAGCUUGGUGUUGGGGCCUGCUGUAAGGGCAGCCCCUAAAAUCAGUGGCAGUGCUGUCAGGCUCUAAGCGUAGUAAUUUCAUCGCUAUAGAAACCUAGUGGACACUCGUCAGAACCCCCCCAUUUUUAAUGAUUGACCUCGGAUUAGGUAGGGAUACCCGCUGAACUUAAGCAUAUCAAUAAGCGGAGGAAAAGAAACCAACAGGGAUUGCCUCAGUAACGGCGAGUGAAGCGGCAAAAGCUCAAAUUUGAAAUCUGGCUCUUUUAGGGUCCGAGUUGUAAUUUGUAGAAGAUGUUUCGGGUGUGGCUCCGGUUUAAGUUCUUUGGAAUAUUACAUCAUAGAGGGUGAGAAUCCCGUAUGUGACCGGCAGCCUUCGCUCAUGUGAAACUCUUUCGACGAGUCGAGUUGUUUGGGAAUGCAGCUCANAAUGGGUGGUAUAUUUCAUCUAAAGCUAAAUAUUGGCCAGAGACCGAUAGCGCACAAGUAGAGUGAUCGAAAGAUG